GAGUAGGGCGGGACACGUGGUAUCCUGUCUGAAUAUGGGGGGACCAUCCUCCAAGGCUAAAUACUCCUGACUGACCGAUAGUGAACCAGUACCGUGAGGGAAAGGCGAAAAGAACCCCGGCGAGGGGAGUGAAAAAGAACCUGAAACCGUGUACGUACAAGCAGUGGGAGCACGCUUAGGCGUGUGACUGCGUACCUUUUGUAUAAUGGGUCAGCGACUUAUAUUCUGUAGCAAGGUUAACCGAAUAGGGGAGCCGAAGGGAAACCGAGUCUUAACUGGGCGUUAAGUUGCAGGGUAUAGACCCGAAACCCGGUGAUCUAGCCAUGGGCAGGUUGAAGGUUGGGUAACACUAACUGGAGGACCGAACCGACUAAUGUUGAAAAAUUAGCGGAUGACUUGUGGCUGGGGGUGAAAGGCCAAUCAAACCGGGAGAUAGCUGGUUCUCCCCGAAAGCUAUUUAGGUAGCGCCUCGUGAAUUCAUCUCCGGGGGUAGAGCACUGUUUCGGCAAGGGGGUCAUCCCGACUUACCAACCCGAUGCAAACUGCGAAUACCGGAGAAUGUUAUCACGGGAGACACACGGCGGGUGCUAACGUCCGUCGUGAAGAGGGAAACAACCCAGACCGCCAGCUAAGGUCCCAAAGUCAUGGUUAAGUGGGAAACGAUGUGGGAAGGCCCAGACAGCCAGGAUGUUGGCUUAGAAGCAGCCAUCAUUUAAAGAAAGCGUAAUAGCUCACUGGUCGAGUCGGCCUGCGCGGAAGAUGUAACGGGGCUAAACCAUGCACCGAAGCUGCGGCAGCGACGCUGAUGCGUUGUUGGGUAGGGGAGCGUUCUGUAAGCCUG
Molecule: ribosomal RNA, 841 nt
Filed under: Escherichia coli
Lineage: Bacteria; Pseudomonadati; Pseudomonadota; Gammaproteobacteria; Enterobacterales; Enterobacteriaceae
Description: partial 23S ribosomal RNA
Rfam family: Bacterial large subunit ribosomal RNA
Source: RNAcentral